This 243-nucleotide ribosomal RNA is filed under the name uncultured bacterium. RNAcentral's name for it is "partial 16S ribosomal RNA". It matches the Rfam family "Bacterial small subunit ribosomal RNA", at positions 118 to 348 of the family's 1533-position model. The record is from RNAcentral.
UGGGUAACCUGCCUCAAAGAGGGGAAUAGCCUCCCGAAAGGGAGAUUAAUACCGCAUAUUAUGUUUAGGUCGCAUGACUUUAACAUCAAAGGAUUUUCUUUUAGAAAUUCCACUUUGAGAUGGACCCGCGGCGCAUUAGCUAGUUGGUGAGGUAACGGCUCACCAAGGCAACGAUGCGUAGCCGACCUGAGAGGGUGAUCGGCCACAUUGGAACUGAGACACGGUCCAGACUCCGUAGGGAGG